This 253-nucleotide ribosomal RNA is filed under the name uncultured bacterium. RNAcentral's name for it is "partial 16S ribosomal RNA". It matches the Rfam family "Bacterial small subunit ribosomal RNA", at positions 524 to 776 of the family's 1533-position model. The record is from RNAcentral.
UACGUAGGGGCCUAGCGUUGUCCGGAUUUAUUGGGCGUAAAGAGCUCGUAGGCGGUUUGUCGCGUCUGCUGUGAAAACUGGAGGCUCAACCUCCAGCCUGCAGUGGGUACGGGCAGACUAGAGUGCGGUAGGGGAGAUUGGAAUUCCUGGUGUAGCGGUGGAAUGCGCAGAUAUCAGGAGGAACACCGAUGGCGAAGGCAGAUCUCUGGGCCGUAACUGACGCUGAGGAGCGAAAGCAUGGGGAGCAAACAGG